GAAAUAAAAACAGAGAAACAAGCCACAUGCGCAACAUCGUAUCAGAAUUCAAAAUAUCAAACCGCCAUGGCUGCUGCUACCCUCUCGCAAUGCAGUUUCUCUCCCGCCAUAACUUGUCUGAAAUCAAAUCCCAAACUCAAACCCAUUAAUUCACUUCUCUGCCCUGACAUUUUACAAACCCAUUUGUUUCUCCAACACAAAUGCCAGGUCACACUCUCUUACUAAAGUCUCUCUAAAUGUUCGAACUUUACUACUAUUAAACUCUUAAAAAUCAAAUCUAUCUUAACUCUAACUUGUUUUUUUGUCUGCUUUCCUUUUUGGGCGGGUUGAGAAUUUCUCAAACAAAAGCAGCAUUACCUAAACUGUCGCAUUGGUUAGUUGUGGUUUCUGGGUUAGUGGAUGGCAAUUCUGAGACAUACCCAGAAGCAGGAUCAAGUGAUUUGAAUGAGGAGGGUGCAGCCACUGACAUAAAACUGCCAAGGAGGAGUUUGCUUGUGCAAUUUACUUGUAAUGAAUGUGGCGAGAGGUCUCAGAGGCUCAUUAAUCGUUUAGCCUAUGAACAGGGGCUUGUUUUUGUGCAGGUACUCAUCUGUUCUAAUGGGCUGUUAGAAUGACAAUUUUUUGCUAUAUGUUUCUUACCAGUAAGCAUUUAUCCUGUUAUAUUAAAGGCCAGCAAUGCACUGUCCUUUUGACUUAAAAAGGAAAAGGAAAAGGAAAAAAGAGUAUUCAGAACUGAUUUUUCUUGGGAAAGUAUAGUCUAAAACUUCCAAUAACAAGCCUUUAAUGUUUUAUGUUCAAACUGAAUGCUCCCUAAAGAAAUGAUACGAGUUAAUAUAGAAAUAUAGAGGACCUCAAAAGUAAUAUGAAGUACUAGAAGAAAAUAGAAGCCCAUCACUUUUCCAUAAGGAAAUGUUGUCAAUGUUAUUAAUGAUCAACAUGUUUUCAAAAUUUUCUUAAUAAAAAUUAACUUAAAUAUCCAUAAGAUGUUUCUCAAUAACUGUUGGAAUAAUUGGAGCAUAUGUAAUUGCCAGGCAACUUAUUUAGUAUUUUGCAUGAGGUUGUUUCCCAAAUAACUAUAUUUAUUUGUUCAUGGGAUUGAACAUGGUUGAUUCACAAGUUCCUUUCUGCCUAGGGAAUUUUUUUUCAGGAGUGCUACUUUCUUCUUACUCGCUUUUGGGGAAGUUUGCUGAACCUUAAUUUGCCCUAGAACAUGAUAGAUACUCUUCAGGGAAGAACAGUUUCUGAUGCAAAACUGUGCAACUGAAAUUGAUUGCUUUUGUGUUUUUAUGUUGAAGAGUUACAACAGUUUUGUCCAUGGAAAUUUUUGUAUGCUCCUCGUAUUGUUACUGUUUUCGUUUUUUUAGAACUAUGAAGUAAAUUUCUAUUAUGUUUUCUUCUCUUGGAUAGUUUUGUUCAUGGUUAUAAGGUUCAUCUUUAUUGUGUACUCCAAUGAACUUAAAAAAUCCAAAAAUGUUGACAAUUUCUUGGCUUGCCUUUAUAAUACCUGUAAUCUGAAUUUCACACCGGUCUUGUUUGUACAUAUAAAGUAAUCUCUUUUCAUCAUAAAUAUAAUUUCAUGGCUUGGUAACAUUUCUAGAAACUGUAGCCUGUAACUACCAGCAAAUAGGCAAUAGCUAAAA
Long non-coding RNA from Populus trichocarpa (black cottonwood), 1640 nucleotides. RefSeq lists it as uncharacterized. The transcript is spliced from 2 exons. The record is from RefSeq and is a predicted model, not a curated record. Lineage: Eukaryota; Viridiplantae; Streptophyta; Magnoliopsida; Malpighiales; Salicaceae.